Long non-coding RNA from Saccostrea echinata, 862 nucleotides. RefSeq lists it as uncharacterized. The transcript is spliced from 5 exons. The record is from RefSeq and is a predicted model, not a curated record. Lineage: Eukaryota; Metazoa; Mollusca; Bivalvia; Ostreida; Ostreidae.
AAUGGAAAUUCAUUUGACAGUGAUGAUGAUGAUGAGAUUAAUUCAGCUUGUUGUGAUCCUCCUGGACAUCCAAGUGUUUUCGACAUUGAUGAAGAUUUUGUCAAUCUCUCUCUUGGACCAAACCAAGAAAUGAUGGUUUUAAGAAGAUUAUAGGAUAUGUCAUAGAAUACGAAGACCCCACCACUGGAGGCAGGCUAAUGACUACCCAGUAGAUGAGUGUGUUUAUGAGGUGAAGGGAUUAAAAAAGGACAAGGAAUACAACUUCCACAUACAGGCCAAGAAUCUUGAAGGUUUUUAAAUCAGUGAGUCUAGUGAUGUGAUUGGUCCCAUAACUCCCAAGCCCAAAUACACCAAGGUUUUGCCACCUGGUGUACCAGAGGCUGUCAACAAUUCUAUAACUUAUCUGAAAUGGGAACCACCUAAACAUAAUGGUGGCUGUAAAAUUACAGACUACCUUGUAGAAGAGAAGUUUAAGGGAACAGAGAAAUGAGUACCCCUGCACUGACCCCUCUUUACUGUCACCGAUCUUCCUCAGGACUCAGAGUGGGAGUUUAGAGUUACAGCUGAUAACUUUGCUUGAAACUGUGAGCCCAGUCUGUGCUCACCAGCAUACAAAAUCCAGGAGAAGAUUGGUAUGUUGUCAAGUUAAUAAAUGUAUCGUACACUAUUAUGGUACUAGAAAAAAGAUUUGGAGGUCAAAUUAAACCAUAAUGUGUAUUUUCUUCUCAAAGCCCAUAAUACUCUCACUUUACUGGUCAGGAGCUGAAAUUUAUGUGAAAGCUUCCUGAUGUAAUAAAGAUUUUAAAUUGUUCAAAAAAUGGCCUUUGAGGUAGAUGGGGCCACAAUAGGGGAUCAAAGAUUU